CUAGCUGAUAGCAGAAAUCCUGAGUCUGUACAGCCUCAUCUUGUGAAAUGCUUUGAAAAUAUAAAACAAUUAUUGAUAUGGAAACAAGACAUUGGCCCUCCUGCUGUAAAAAUGCUAAUAUCUGCUGAAGGGGAAGGUCUCGUGCUGCCAAAGAAAAUUCGUGUAAGAAGUGCUGUAGAACAGUGGCUGGUAAAUGUAGAAAAAAGCAUGUUCGAUGUGCUAAAAAAAUUUUUAAGUCAAGGGAUUGAAGACUGGAACUGCCAGAUGUUUUCCCAAUGGGUGUUAUCUCAUCCAGGACAAGUGGUACUUACUGUGAGCCAGAUCAUGUUUUAUAAUGAUUGUGUUAAAAGUUUUGUGAGUUCUUAUUCAAGAGAAAAAUUGGAAAAAGUCCACGCUGGUCUGAUAUGUCAUCUAGAAGAGGUUGCAGACCUGGUAGUGCUGGAUACUAGUAACUCUCGAACAAAAGCUAUACUAGGGGCAUUGCUUAUCCUUUAUGUUCACUGCAGAGAUAUAGUGAUAAAUUUACUACUUAAAAAUAUCUUCAAUGCAGAGGAUUUUGAGU
Molecule: long non-coding RNA, 562 nt
Filed under: Pan troglodytes (chimpanzee)
Lineage: Eukaryota; Metazoa; Chordata; Mammalia; Primates; Hominidae
Description: long non-coding RNA NONPTRT000692
Source: RNAcentral